AUACCCCUGGGGUGUGCGAUAACUCUCUUUAUUUUGAACCUACAUUUACUUAAUGGGACUCCUAUAUAGUCGGCGGUAAUGUCAGGCCCUCCUUCGAAGGGAAGACAGCGGCGCCCUCUGCGGACACCCACCUGGCUUCGGCUAGGCGUCAAAAUUAGGGAACCGGCACUCUGGGGUUUUU
RNAcentral lists this non-coding RNA (181 nucleotides) under Lachnospiraceae bacterium. RNAcentral describes it as "6S RNA". It matches the Rfam family "6S / SsrS RNA". Rfam says of the family: E. coli 6S RNA was the first non coding RNA to be sequenced, but its function was unknown until recently. It consists of 184 nucleotides that fold into an extended hairpin structure with a large single-stranded internal bulge. The 6S RNA specifically associates with RNA polymerase holoenzyme containing the sigma70 specificity factor. Lineage: Bacteria; Bacillati; Bacillota; Clostridia; Lachnospirales; Lachnospiraceae. The record is from RNAcentral.